This 2283-nucleotide ribosomal RNA is filed under the name Salmonella enterica subsp. enterica serovar Panama. RNAcentral's name for it is "partial 23S ribosomal RNA". It matches the Rfam family "Bacterial large subunit ribosomal RNA". Lineage: Bacteria; Pseudomonadati; Pseudomonadota; Gammaproteobacteria; Enterobacterales; Enterobacteriaceae. The record is from RNAcentral.
ACGGAGCGCAAGCGACGUUCAACCUCAAAAGAAGCAGAGGGGGCUUAGUGGUGGGGUGACUGCGUACCUUUUGUAUAAUGGGUCAGCGACUUAUAUUCUGUAGCAAGGUUAACCGUAUAGGGGAGCCGGAGGGAAACCGAGUCUUAACCGGGCGUUAAGUUGCAGGGUAUAGACCCGAAACCCGGUGAUCUAGCCAUGGGCAGGUUGAAGGUUGGGUAACACUAACUGGAGGACCGAACCGACUAAUGUUGAAAAAUUAGCGGAUGACCUGUGGCUGGGGGUGAAAGGCCAAUCAAACCGGGAGAUAGCUGGUUCUCCCCGAAAGCUAUUUAGGUAGCGCCUCGUGAAUUCAUCUCCGGGGGUAGAGCACUGUUUCGGCUAGGGGGCCAUCCCGGCUUACCAACCCGAUGCAAACUGCGAAUACCGGAGAAUGUUAUCACGGGAGACACACGGCGGGUGCUAACGUCCGUCGUGAAGAGGGAAACAACCCAGACCGCCAGCUAAGGUCCCAAAGUCAUGGUUAAGUGGGAAACGAUGUGGGAAGGCCCAGACAGCCAGGAUGUUGGCUUAGAAGCAGCCAUCAUUUAAAGAAAGCGUAAUAGCUCACUGGUCGAGUCGGCCUGCGCGGAAGAUGUAACGGGGCUAAACCAUGCACCGAAGCUGCGGCAGCGACACUCAGGUGUUGUUGGGUAGGGGAGCGUUCUGUAAGCCUGCGAAGGUGGCCUGUGAGGGUUGCUGGAGGUAUCAGAAGUGCGAAUGCUGACAUAAGUAACGAUAAAGCGGGUGAAAAGCCCGCUCGCCGGAAGACCAAGGGUUCCUGUCCAACGUUAAUCGGGGCAGGGUGAGUCGACCCCUAAGGCGAGGCCGAAAGGCGUAGUCGAUGGGAAACGGGUUAAUAUUCCCGUACUUGGUGUUACUGCGAAGGGGGGACGGAGAAGGCUAUGUUGGCCGGGCGACGGUUGUCCCGGUUUAAGCGUGUAGGUGUGUGUUCCAGGUAAAUCCGGUUCACUUUAACACUGAGGCGUGACGACGAGGCACUACGGUGCUGAAGCAACAAAUGCCCUGCUUCCAGGAAAAGCCUCUAAGCAUCAGGUAACAUCAAAUCGUACCCCAAACCGACACAGGUGGUCAGGUAGAGAAUACCAAGGCGCUUGAGAGAACUCGGGUGAAGGAACUAGGCAAAAUGGUGCCGUAACUUCGGGAGAAGGCACGCUGACAUGUAGGUGAAGUGAUUUACUCAUGGAGCUGAAGUCAGUCGAAGAUACCAGCUGGCUGCAACUGUUUAUUAAAAACACAGCACUGUGCAAACACGAAAGUGGACGUAUACGGUGUGACGCCUGCCCGGUGCCGGAAGGUUAAUUGAUGGGGUCAGCGCAAGCGAAGCUCCUGAUCGAAGCCCCGGUAAACGGCGGCCGUAACUAUAACGGUCCUAAGGUAGCGAAAUUCCUUGUCGGGUAAGUUCCGACCUGCACGAAUGGCGUAAUGAUGGCCAGGCUGUCUCCACCCGAGACUCAGUGAAAUUGAACUCGCUGUGAAGAUGCAGUGUACCCGCGGCAAGACGGAAAGACCCCGUGAACCUUUACUAUAGCUUGACACUGAACAUUGAGCCUUGAUGUGUAGGAUAGGUGGGAGGCUUUGAAGUGUGGACGCCAGUCUGCAUGGAGCCGACCUUGAAAUACCACCCUUUAAUGUUUGAUGUUCUAACGUGGACCCGUGAUCCGGGUUGCGGACAGUGUCUGGUGGGUAGUUUGACUGGGGCGGUCUCCUCCUAAAGAGUAACGGAGGAGCACGAAGGUUGGCUAAUCCUGGUCGGACAUCAGGAGGUUAGUGCAAUGGCAUAAGCCAGCUUGACUGCGAGCGUGACGGCGCGAGCAGGUGCGAAAGCAGGUCAUAGUGAUCCGGUGGUUCUGAAUGGAAGGGCCAUCGCUCAACGGAUAAAAGGUACUCCGGGGAUAACAGGCUGAUACCGCCCAAGAGUUCAUAUCGACGGCGGUGUUUGGCACCUCGAUGUCGGCUCAUCACAUCCUGGGGCUGAAGUAGGUCCCAAGGGUAUGGCUGUUCGCCAUUUAAAGUGGUACGCGAGCUGGGUUUAGAACGUCGUGAGACAGUUCGGUCCCUAUCUGCCGUGGGCGCUGGAGAACUGAGGGGGGCUGCUCCUAGUACGAGAGGACCGGAGUGGACGCAUCACUGGUGUUCGGGUUGUCAUGCCAAUGGCACUGCCCGGUAGCUAAAUGCGGAAGAGAUAAGUGCUGAAAGCAUCUAAGCACGAAACUUGCCCCGAGA